UACGGUGACUAUGGCGGUGGGGAUCACCUCUUACCAUUCCGAACAGAGCAGUUAAGCCCACUUGCGCCGAUGGUACUUCUUUCGAGGGAGAGUAGGUAGUCGCCGACC
RNAcentral lists this ribosomal RNA (108 nucleotides) under bacterium SCSIO 12741. The record is from RNAcentral.